RNAcentral lists this ribosomal RNA (253 nucleotides) under uncultured bacterium. Its description in RNAcentral is "partial 16S ribosomal RNA". It matches the Rfam family "Bacterial small subunit ribosomal RNA", at positions 524 to 776 of the family's 1533-position model. The record is from RNAcentral.
UACGAAGGGGGCUAGCGUUGUUCGGAAUCACUGGGCGUAAAGGGCGCGUAGGCGGCCGAUCAAGUCGGGAGUGAAAGCCUGUGGCUCAACCACAGAAUUGCCUUCGAUACUGUUUGGCUUGAGACCGGAAGAGGUUAGUGGAACUGCGAGUGUAGAGGUGAAAUUCGUAGAUAUUCGCAAGAACACCAGUGGCGAAGGCGGCUGACUGGUCCGGUUCUGACGCUGAGGCGCGAAAGCGUGGGGAGCAAACAGG